CUCUCCCGCCGUGUCCAGGGGCCUUUGGGUCGCCGUCGGCGACCUUCGGGCGCGGGGCCCAGAAAUGCCUGCAAGCCUCGGGCGCCGCCUCAGCCCGGGGACGCCAGUCCGGGCCGGGAGGAGCACGUGCUUCUGCCCAGUUCCUCGUUGGGGAUUUUCCUCCUCUCUUUUCCUUCCCGCCCCCUGUUAAGGUGGUGUGUCACGCUGGUGGAGUGUGAAAUUGGUGAAGUCCAGAACGGUGGUCCGUGGAUGCCUGGCUGUGUGUGGAGCAGGGCCGUGCAGCACAGACAGCUGUCCUCCCUCGACAGACUGGGGCUCCCGCCGCGGCACUGCGUGGUGACGGUGUGGAGCUGACCCCACACGGGUGUGAAAGAGCCCUGCAAGGCUGUGUACUUGAAGGUCCAGGACCCAGACCCUGGAAGAUGCUGUUGCAUGUGGAGUUCUCCUCCUUCUCUGCUUCCCUGCUGGCUCUGAAUGAUUUGUGACUGCAUUCCACAAAGAUCCAAUGUGACAAGAGCAGAAGAAAACAUUAAAAUACUUUUUAGAGUUUGGUCUUACAGGUGAUGUCCAGUCAUAGUUUUGGAGACAGACCAGUGACAAGACACACCGAGUCCAUGCAGCUGCAGUUCCCUUCCGUCAGCGCUUGCUCCCUUAUAUACCUGGGAGCCCAUGAGGUCAAUCCUCAUUGGCUGAGCCUGUUACUUCCUGCUCAGCCAGCCAAUAGAAGCCUGAGUCUCCGACGGCCUGGGCCUGCUCUUCCUGGUCUAAUUUUAUAAAUUCCAAGCAGAAUGCUGCAGUGGGCAUGUGUGAAGAUGAAGAUCUGAAAGUUUCAGAAAUAUGAACAGAAGAAGGGAGCUGAAUGCUGAUGAUGCAAAAUUCCACCUGCUCUCUAGUAUGAAUCUGAAUCCUCUUCAGGACCACACAUCACUGAAAAGGAGCUUCCAUUUUUUCCUGCUAAGGCUCCAUGGCUGGCAAUCUUACAAGUGUACUUUGCUUGCCCUGGCUACCCAAUUAGCAGCUUCAGACUACAAUUCACUUCAUCUUCC
This is a long non-coding RNA of Passer montanus (Eurasian tree sparrow), 1046 nucleotides long. RefSeq lists it as uncharacterized. The record is from RefSeq and is a predicted model, not a curated record. Lineage: Eukaryota; Metazoa; Chordata; Aves; Passeriformes; Passeridae. The transcript is spliced from 5 exons.